Molecule: long non-coding RNA, 2675 nt
Organism: Canis lupus familiaris (dog)
Lineage: Eukaryota; Metazoa; Chordata; Mammalia; Carnivora; Canidae
Exons: 5
Source: RefSeq, a predicted model, not a curated record
GCGCCCGCGCCCCACCGCGCCCCUCGCGAGCAGCCGGGCCCAGAGCCCCAAACACAGGGAGAGGCUCCUCCCCGGGAACCAUAUAAAUUAAGUGUAAGAGACUUCUUAUUGGUUGAAAACAGUGAAAAUAAUAACAAUACAGGGCAGCCCUGGUGGCUCAGCGGUUCAGCGCCGCCUGCAGCCCAGGGCGUGAUCCCAGGUCCCGGGAUCGAGUCCCGCAUCGCGUCGGGCUCCCUGCGUGGAGCCUGCUCCUCCCCCUGCCUGUGUCUCUGCCUCUGUCUCUCUCUCUGGGUCUCUUAUGGAUAAAUAAACAAAACUUUAAAAAUAACGAUAACAAUACAUUAUACGGUUUUGCGAUCAACAGCAGUAAAACGUACACAAAGAUAGAGACGCGGGGGAAGUGGAAGUAGGUGGAAGAUGGAGGCCCCUACAGAAACCCCGCGGGCCCGAGCCCCUGCGGCCACAGCCCCUCCCGGAGCACGGACCCCCCUCAAGGGACCCUGUGGGCGUGCAGGGAGCAGGGGACCCUCGGCCCGGGCAGUCAGUGCCUCAUUCCCCGGGAGGGGGGCCUGUCAUUAGGGCCCCGGGCAGGGUCUCACCUCGCUCGGCCCGCAGCCCCAGACUCAACCCUGCUGCCAGAGGCCGCCCAGCUGGCUGUGGCUGCUCCAGGCAGGCACUCGCAGAGACCCUGCCCUUCCCUUGGUCUGGGGCCCCCUGCGGUCCACACCUCCCUCCGUGUCUUUCUGUGACCGGCAGCAGGCGGCUGGGGAGGGGGCUGGUGGCCGUGCCCCUCACCGCAGCCUCUGUGACUUAACCGGGCACUCAAAGCUGUACCUCCCUCUGGAAUAGGUUGAGUGGUGGCCCCCAGACAUACUCCCGCCCAGAACCUGUAACUGUGACCCUGUUUGGAGAUUCUUUGCAGGUGUAAUUAAGGAUCCCAAGAUGAGAUCACCCUGGAUUUAGGGCAGCCUGAAGUCCAUGACGAGUGUUGUCCUUGGUGGAGAAGAAAAGGCGAGAUGAUAGAGGGGAUGGCCACCUGAGGGGAAGGCUGACGCUGCUGCCGUGCAGCCACAGCCAGCACAUGCUGAGCACGGCCGUCGCCCCCAGGAGCUGGAGGGGGUUCCCCUUGGGGCCCCCAGGCUGUGGGGACAUGGGUGUCCCUUGUUGAGCCAUCUGCUUGAGGCAACCCCAGGACACCAGCAUGGCCCACUGGUAGCUCACAAGCCUUCAGGCCAAAGAUGGGAGCAGUGGCUGGAAAUGAGGGCCAGGCUCCUCACUGAUUCCCUCUCCUAAUGGGGCAGGGGAACAUUCUUACCUCUGGGACGCACACCGGGGCUGGACGGAGAUGGAGGACAUAGGGAAGUGUUGUGUUGCUUCCCAAAGCCCAGCUCUCUAUCUCUAGGAGGAAAAUGACAUCUAAUGUUUUAACAACAUAGGCCACAGAAAUGCUUCACGGAGCCUCAGGAUACCCUGUGUGUCCCCGUGAGCCGAGGAGGGUCUCCAUGGUGGGGGGGCGGGUACUCUGCGAGGUGUCUGGGGCUAUGAUGGGUUAUUAAGGGUUUUCCAAAAUGGGUGGAAAUGCUGCGCAAAGCCGCCUGUGGGGAAGCAAGGUGGUGCAGAGGCACGAAUGGGACCGACUGAGCCACUUGUGUCCGGGUGAUGAGUCUCCAAACAACGUUGAGCAUCAGACCCAGGUUGCAGAAGCACACCUCUGGUGUGAAGCGGUUUACACGAAGCUCAAAACGGCAAACGGAGCACGGCUGUUCGGGGGCAGGGAGAUGUCAGGCAGGUACCCCCAGGAAGCUGAGACCCUGCCCGGGUGAUCAAUAAUAUGAUCAGAAUCAGAAAGGACCAGCCGACAGCCCUACCAAGAAACAGAGUUGCUGCACCUCACAGUCACUGCGUGAGCCGCUGCACCUCCAAAGCAGGUCUAUGAGGGAGGCCACGCUGGUGUCAUCAAGAGCCAAGCCCCCGGACAAACACGCGUGUCAAACGAGAGCUUCGUGCUUGUCCACGGAGAAGCAUCGGAGUCAAGCUGUGUCCUCAGCGCUCAGAGCGGCUGGGUCGCAGGAGCGAUCGGCAGGUGACGGGACAGCCGUGCCACGAGGCGGUUCUGACCCCUCCGCGUCCACCAUGGCUGUCCGGCGGCCCUGGGAGCGUCCACACUGCGGGCCGGCUCCCCCUCCCCGACCUGUGGCUGCCUCCACACCUGGACAUCGGCAGUGUCACAGAGGGGAUCAGGACUCAUGUUCGCCGCACUCCACGGAUUCCCUGAAAACUGUGUCCAUCAGAAUGAAAUAAAAACACGCAAAACCUUCUAGAACAAAGCCUGUUGGAACGCUCAUUGAGUGAGUCAGAAUAACGCAGAGGAGAGAUAUAAUUUUAGCCUUCUUUAAAAAAAAAAACAAAAAGGAAGCGUCAAAUGCCAAGCCAUUCACUCCACUUUUAGCUCCGCAUGAUGAAUAAAUAAUUUAGUUCAGCUCAUGCACCACCUGCUUAUUUCUAUUUUAGUGAGCAAGCAGGCGUUAAAUGUGUGCCGUCACGUAGCAGAAUUCUCUUCUGGUGUAAAUAUUGGUUAAAUAUCACUUACAAACAUGUUCAUCUUUGAGUAGCUGACUCUGGAGACGUGUGUCUGAUGCUGAAUGAAAACAUCAGAAAGCAGAGCAGGGCCUGCU